GAUGAACGCUAGCGGGAGGCCUAACACAUGCAAGCCGAGCGGUAGAGUUUCUUCGGAAACUUGAGAGCGGCGCACGGGUGCGUAACACGUGUGCAACCUACCUUUAUCUGGGGGAUAGCCUUUCGAAAGGAAGAUUAAUACCCCAUAAUAUAAUGAUUGGCAUCAAUUAUUAUUGAAAACUCCAGUGGAUAGAGAUGGGCACGCGCAAGAUUAGAUAGUUGGUGAGGUAACGGCUCACCAAGUCAAUGAUCUUUAGGGGUCCUGAGAGGGAGAUCCCCCACACUGGUACUGAGACACGGACCAGACUCCUACGGGAGGCAGCAGUGAGGAAUAUUGGACAAUGGGUGAGAGCCUGAUCCAGCCAUCCCGCGUGAAGGAUGACGGUCCUAUGGAUUGUAAACUUCUUUUGUACAGGGAUAAACCUACCCUCGUGAGGGUAGCUGAAGGUACUGUACGAAUAAGCACCGGCUAACUCCGU
This 478-nucleotide ribosomal RNA is filed under the name uncultured bacterium. RNAcentral's name for it is "partial 16S ribosomal RNA". It matches the Rfam family "Bacterial small subunit ribosomal RNA", at positions 28 to 506 of the family's 1533-position model. The record is from RNAcentral.